GCCUAAAGCGUCCGUAGCCGGCUCUGUAAGUUUUCGGUUAAAUCCAUAUGCUCAACAUAUGGGCCGCCGGGAAUACUGCAUAGCUAGGGAGUGGGAGAGGUAGACGGUACUCCGUAGGAAGGGGUAAAAUCCUUUGAUCUAUGGAUGACCACCUGUGGCGAAGGCGGUCUACCAGAACACGUUCGACGGUGAGGGAUGAAAGCUGGGGGAGCAAACCGGAUUAGAUACCCGGGUAGUCCCAGCUGUAAACUAUGCAAACUCAGUGAUGCAUUGGCUUGUGGCCAGUGCAGUGCCGCAGAGAAGUCGUUAAGUUUGCCGCCUGGGAAGUACGUACGCAAGUAUGAAACUUAAAGGAAUUGGCGGGGGAGCACCACAAGGGGUGAAGCCUGCGGUUCAAUUGGAGUCAACGCCAGAAAUCUUACCCGGAGAGACAGCAGGAUGAAGGUCAAGCUGAAGACUUUACCAGACAAGCUGAGAAGUGGUGCAUGGCCGCCGCCAGCUCGUGCCGUGAGGUGUCCUGUUAAGUCAGGUAACGAGCGAGAUCCCUACCUCUAGUUGCCACCAUUACUCUCAGGAGUAGUGGGGCGAAUUAGCGGGACUGCCGCAGUUAAUGCGGAGGAAGGAGGGGGCCACGGCAGGUCAGUAUGCCCCGAA
RNAcentral lists this ribosomal RNA (654 nucleotides) under uncultured archaeon. RNAcentral describes it as "bacterial SSU rRNA". It matches the Rfam family "Archaeal small subunit ribosomal RNA", at positions 508 to 1160 of the family's 1478-position model. The record is from RNAcentral.